Mytilus trossulus (common blue mussel) is the source of this 454-nucleotide long non-coding RNA. RefSeq lists it as uncharacterized. The record is from RefSeq and is a predicted model, not a curated record. NCBI's taxonomy places the organism in Eukaryota, Metazoa, Mollusca, Bivalvia, Mytilida, Mytilidae. The transcript is spliced from 5 exons.
GGUAUAGGUUUUUGUUGGAGACCGUAUGUUGACCUUUAGUUGUUCAAUACUGUGUCAUUUGGUCUGUUGUGGUGCGUUGUCUCGAACUCAAUAGCCAGUGUAUCAACUCCGAAUAUUUCCAAAUGGAAUAACUGUGUUUUACUAAAGCAAUAUAAAGAAGACACAAUGAAGAAUCUGAUGUUGAUUGUCUUAAUACUGUUCAUAACUAUAGAUACUGUCCAUCCAUGUCGUUGUAUUACGAAGUUGAGUCCAGUUUGCUCCACAAGGGGGAAAACGUUUAGAAAUUCGUGUUACCUAUUUUGUGCAAAAGGUCACACUUUAGCCUGCCAUCGUAAGUGUCCAUGUUAGUCGUAGCCCUUGUGAAAGUAAUUACGAAUGAGAAUGGACACCAAGUGAGAUGGAAUAGUAUAUUUAAUAUAUAUUGUAGAAUCAAAGAAUAAAACAAACUUUCACA